Molecule: ribosomal RNA, 462 nt
Filed under: uncultured bacterium
Lineage: Bacteria
Description: partial 16S ribosomal RNA
Rfam family: Bacterial small subunit ribosomal RNA
Source: RNAcentral
GACGAACGCUGGCGGCGUGCUUAACACAUGCAAGUCGAACGGAAAGGCCCUUCGGGGUACUCGAGUGGCGAACGGGUGAGUAACACGUGGGUGAUCUGCCCUGCACUUUGGGAUAAGCCUGGGAAACUGGGUCUAAUACCGAAUAGGACCGCGCGCUUCAUGGUGUGUGGUGGAAAGCUUUUGCGGUGUGGGAUGGGCCCGCGGCCUAUCAGCUUGUUGGUGGGGUAAUGGCCUACCAAGGCGACGACGGGUAGCCGGCCUGAGAGGGUGACCGGCCACACUGGGACUGAGAUACGGCCCAGACUCCUACGGGAGGCAGCAGUGGGGAAUAUUGCACAAUGGGCGCAAGCCUGAUGCAGCGACGCCGCGUGAGGGAUGACGGCCUUCGGGUUGUAACCCUCUUUCACCAGGGACGAAGCGCAAGUGACGGUACCUGGAGAAGAAGCACCGGCCAACUACGUG